AUUGAACGCUGGCGGCAGGCCUAACACAUGCAAGUCGAGCGGAUGAAGGGAGCUUGCUCCUGGAUUCAGCGGCGGACGGGUGAGUAAUGCCUAGGAAUCUGCCUGGUAGUGGGGGAUAACGUCCGGAAACGGGCGCUAAUACCGCAUACGUCCUGAGGGAGAAAGUGGGGGAUCUUCGGACCUCACGCUAUCAGAUGAGCCUAGGUUGGAUUAGCUAGUUGGUGGGGUAAAGGCCUACCAAGGCGACGAUCCGUAACUGGUCUGAGAGGAUGAUCAGUCACACUGGACCUGAGACACGGUCCAGACUCCUACGGGAGGCAGCAGUGGGGAAUUUUGGACAAUGGGCGAAAUCCUGAUCCAGCCCUGCCGCGUGUUUGAAGAAGGUCUUCGGAUUGUAAAGCCCUUUAAGUUGGGAGGAAGGGCAGUAAGUUAAUACCUUGCUGUUUUGACGUUACCUACAGAAUAAGCACCGGCUAACUUCGUG
RNAcentral lists this ribosomal RNA (484 nucleotides) under uncultured bacterium. RNAcentral describes it as "partial 16S ribosomal RNA". It matches the Rfam family "Bacterial small subunit ribosomal RNA", at positions 30 to 507 of the family's 1533-position model. The record is from RNAcentral.